AGAUGGAGCACGUUCUUUUGUUUCUCAGAGGACCAUGGCUGGAAGCAGAUAAGUCAGUGUAAAACAGCAGCACUGUCUGGAUCCAUGGGAUCAGGGUAAACACUGGAGAUUUAAGGAAUGAUGGGGCCCAAGAAAUCCAUGGCAAAGACAGAGCUAGAACACAGGGUGUCUGCCUCUGCUGCUCUGCUCUAUCUCUUCUUGAAGAGGGAACAGCAGAGGAAAUUUCAGCUGCCCUGCCCUGAAUCCACAGAACUGAGCCCAACAGCUGCUGAACCUGCAUCUUGGAAGAUCCCAGGGGCUGUGGGAUCUGCCUGGUGACCAAGUCUGGGAAGAUGACCUCAGGCAUGGCUAGAGGAAGCCUUUCACACCACACUAUGUCCUGCAUGCCCAGUCACUCCCAGCAUGGCAGGGCAACUCCAGGGCUGUCCAUGUUGUGGACAGGGGCUGGGAGGGAGGUGUGCAGGUGGAGCAGAGGGGCAGCAUGGAAUAUGUCAUACUUGUAGUUCUUCCACUGACAUUUCACCUUCCCUUUGUGUCCUGUGAUCUAAAAAGAUUUCAAAAUAAAUGUAGUUUUUCUUCAUA
This is a long non-coding RNA of Pseudopipra pipra, 582 nucleotides long. RefSeq lists it as uncharacterized. The transcript is spliced from 2 exons. The record is from RefSeq and is a predicted model, not a curated record. Lineage: Eukaryota; Metazoa; Chordata; Aves; Passeriformes; Pipridae.